GAUGAACGCUGGCGGCGUGCCUAAUACAUGCAAGUCGAACGAAGAAACUUGGUGCUUGCACCUCGCGGAUGAGCUGCGGACGGGUGAGUAACGCGUAGGUAACCUGCCUGGUAGCGGGGGAUAACUAUUGGAAACGAUAGCUAAUACCGCAUAAGAGUAGAUGUCGCAUGACAUUUGAUUAAAAGGCGCAAUUGCACCACUACCAGAUGGACUUGCGUCGUAUUAGGUUGUUGGUGGGGUAAAGGGUUACCAAGGCGACGAUACAUAACCGACCUUAGAGGGUGAUCCGCCACACUGGGACUGGGACCCGGCCCAGACUCCUACGGGAAGCAGCAGUAGGGGAUCUUCGGGAAGGGAGGGAAGGCUGACCGGGCAACGGCGGGGGAGUGGAGAAGGGUUUCGGAACGUAAAGCUCUGGUGAUAGAGAAGAACGAAUUGUGUAAGUGAAAAUUCACACUUUGACGGUACCUAACCAGAAAGGGACGGCUAACUACGUG
Molecule: ribosomal RNA, 497 nt
Filed under: uncultured bacterium
Lineage: Bacteria
Description: partial 16S ribosomal RNA
Rfam family: Bacterial small subunit ribosomal RNA
Source: RNAcentral